GGGUUGUGAGGUUAAGCGACCAAGCGUACACGGUGGAUGCCCUGGCAGUCAGAGGCGAUGAAGGACGUGCUAAUCUGCGAUAAGCGCCGGUAAGGUGAUAUGAACCGUUAUAACCGGCGAUUUCCGAAUGGGGAAACCCAGUGUGACUCGUCACACUAUCAUUAACUGAAUCCAUAGGUUAAUGAGGCGAACCGGGGGAACUGAAACAUCUAAGUACCCCGAGGAAAAGAAAUCAACCGAGAUUCCCCCAGUAGCGGCGAGCGAACGGGGAGGAGCCCAGAGCCUGAAUCAGCAUGUGUGUUAGUGGAAGCGUCUGGAAAGGCGCGCGAUACAGGGUGACAGCCCCGUACACAAAAGCGCACAUGCUGUGAGCUCGAUGAGUAGGGCGGGACACGUGGUAUCCUGUCUGAAUAUGGGGGGACCAUCCUCCAAGGCUAAAUACUCCUGACUGACCGAUAGUGAACCAGUACCGUGAGGGAAAGGCGAAAAGAACCCCGGCGAGGGGAGUGAAACAGAACCUGAAACCGUGUACGUACAAGCAGUGGGAGCACAGGUUUACCUGUGUGACUGCGUACCUUUUGUAUAAUGGGUCAGCGACUUAUAUUCUGUAGCAAGGUUAACCGCAUAGGGGAGCCGAAGGGAAACCGAGUCUUAACCGGGCGUUAAGUUGCAGGGUAUAGACCCGAAACCCGGUGAUCUAGCCAUGGGCAGGUUGAAGGUUGGGUAACACUAACUGGAGGACCGAACCGACUAAUGUUGAAAAAUUAGCGGAUGACCUGUGGCUGGGGGUGAAAGGCCAAUCAAACCGGGAGAUAGCUGGUUCUCCCCGAAAGCUAUUUAGGUAGCGCCUCGUGAAUUCAUCUCCGGGGGUAGAGCACUGUUUCGGCUAGGGGGCCAUCCCGGCUUACCAACCCGAUGCAAACUGCGAAUACCGGAGAAUGUUAUCACGGGAGACACACGGCGGGUGCUAACGUCCGUCGUGAAGAGGGAAACAACCCAGACCGCCAGCUAAGGUCCCAAAGUCAUGGUUAAGUGGGAAACGAUGUGGGAAGGCCCAGACAGCCAGGAUGUUGGCUUAGAAGCAGCCAUCAUUUAAAGAAAGCGUAAUAGCUCACUGGUCGAGUCGGCCUGCGCGGAAGAUGUAACGGGGCUAAACCAUGCACCGAAGCUGCGGCAGCGACACUGUGUGUUGUUGGGUAGGGGAGCGUUCUGUAAGCCUGUGAAGGUGGCCUGUGAGGGUUGCUGGAGGUAUCAGAAGUGCGAAUGCUGACAUAAGUAACGAUAAAGCGGGUGAAAAGCCCGCUCGCCGGAAGACCAAGGGUUCCUGUCCAACGUUAAUCGGGGCAGGGUGAGUCGACCCCUAAGGCGAGGCCGAAAGGCGUAGUCGAUGGGAAACGGGUUAAUAUUCCCGUACUUGGUGUUACUGCGAAGGGGGGACGGAGAAGGCUAUGUUGGCCGGGCGACGGUUGUCCCGGUUUAAGCGUGUAGGCUGACUUUCCAGGCAAAUCCGGAGAGUCAAGGCUGAGGCGUGACGACGAGGCACCACGGUGCUGAAGCAACAAAUGCCCUGCUUCCAGGAAAAGCCUCUAAGCAUCAGGUAACAUCAAAUCGUACCCCAAACCGACACAGGUGGUCAGGUAGAGAAUACCAAGGCGCUUGAGAGAACUCGGGUGAAGGAACUAGGCAAAAUGGUGCCGUAACUUCGGGAGAAGGCACGCUGACACGUAGGUGAAGUGGUUUACCCAUGGAGCUGAAGUCAGUCGAAGAUACCAGCUGGCUGCAACUGUUUAUUAAAAACACAGCACUGUGCAAACACGAAAGUGGACGUAUACGGUGUGACGCCUGCCCGGUGCCGGAAGGUUAAUUGAUGGGGUCAGCGCAAGCGAAGCUCCUGAUCGAAGCCCCGGUAAACGGCGGCCGUAACUAUAACGGUCCUAAGGUAGCGAAAUUCCUUGUCGGGUAAGUUCCGACCUGCACGAAUGGCGUAAUGAUGGCCAGGCUGUCUCCACCCGAGACUCAGUGAAAUUGAACUCGCUGUGAAGAUGCAGUGUACCCGCGGCAAGACGGAAAGACCCCGUGAACCUUUACUAUAGCUUGACACUGAACAUUGAGCCUUGAUGUGUAGGAUAGGUGGGAGGCUUUGAAGCGUGGACGCCAGUCUGCGUGGAGCCGACCUUGAAAUACCACCCUUUAAUGUUUGAUGUUCUAACGUGGACCCGUGAUCCGGGUUGCGGACAGUGUCUGGUGGGUAGUUUGACUGGGGCGGUCUCCUCCUAAAGAGUAACGGAGGAGCACGAAGGUUGGCUAAUCCUGGUCGGACAUCAGGAGGUUAGUGCAAUGGCAUAAGCCAGCUUGACUGCGAGCGUGACGGCGCGAGCAGGUGCGAAAGCAGGUCAUAGUGAUCCGGUGGUUCUGAAUGGAAGGGCCAUCGCUCAACGGAUAAAAGGUACUCCGGGGAUAACAGGCUGAUACCGCCCAAGAGUUCAUAUCGACGGCGGUGUUUGGCACCUCGAUGUCGGCUCAUCACAUCCUGGGGCUGAAGUAGGUCCCAAGGGUAUGGCUGUUCGCCAUUUAAAGUGGUACGCGAGCUGGGUUUAGAACGUCGUGAGACAGUUCGGUCCCUAUCUGCCGUGGGCGCUGGAGAACUGAGGGGGGCUGCUCCUAGUACGAGAGGACCGGAGUGGACGCAUCACUGGUGUUCGGGUUGUCAUGCCAAUGGCACUGCCCGGUAGCUAAAUGCGGAAGAGAUAAGUGCUGAAAGCAUCUAAGCACGAAACUUGCCCCGAGAUGAGUUCUCCCUGAGACUAUAAGUCUCCUGAAGGAACGUUGAAGACGACGACGUUGAUAGGCCGGGUGUGUAAGCGCAGCGAUGCGUUGAGCUAACCGGUACUAAUGAACCGUGAGGCUUAACCUUACAACGCCGAAGCUGUU
Molecule: ribosomal RNA, 2931 nt
Filed under: Salmonella enterica subsp. salamae serovar 56:z10:e,n,x str. 1369-73
Lineage: Bacteria; Pseudomonadati; Pseudomonadota; Gammaproteobacteria; Enterobacterales; Enterobacteriaceae
Description: bacterial LSU rRNA
Rfam family: Bacterial large subunit ribosomal RNA
Source: RNAcentral